RNAcentral lists this ribosomal RNA (397 nucleotides) under uncultured bacterium. RNAcentral's name for it is "partial 16S ribosomal RNA". It matches the Rfam family "Bacterial small subunit ribosomal RNA", at positions 523 to 918 of the family's 1533-position model. The record is from RNAcentral.
AUACGUAGGUGACAAGCGUUAUCCGGAUUUACUGGGCGUAAAGGGCGUGUAGGCGGUCUUGCAAGUCAGAAGUGAAAUUCCUGAGCUCAACUCGGGCGCUGCUUCUGAAACUGCAGGACUUGAGUGCUGGAGGGGAUAGCGGAAUUCCUAGUGGAGCGGUAAAAUGCGCAGAUAUUAGGAAGAACACCGGUGGCGAAGGCGGCUAUCUGGACAGUAACUGACGCUGAGGCGCGAAAGCGUGGGGAGCAAACAGGAUUAGAUACCCUGGUAGUCCACGCUGUAAACGAUGAAUACUAGGUGUAGGGGGUAUCGACUCCCUCUGUGCCGCAGUUAACACAAUAAGUAUUCCGCCUGGGGAGUACGGCCGCAAGGUUGAAACUCAAAUGAAUUGGCGGGG